AAUUAACCAGGGAUAGAGAGAGGAGAAAUAUAAGACCUUCUACCAGAACUAGUGAUGAAGAAUUUGUUACAUUUUUCUCAGCCCUGGAUUCACUAAAUUCUGAACCUGCUACAUUUGAUGAAGCUAUUAAAGGCCCAGAUUCUAAACAUUGGAAAGAUGCUAUGAAUGAAGAAAUGGACUCUCUAUUAAAAAAUAAAACCUGAGUUCUGGUUGACAGACCCAAGAACUAAAAGGUUAUUGAUUGCAAGUGGAUAUAUAAAAUCAAACAAGGAGACUCAGAUUCACAAAAUAAAAGAUACAAGGUCAGACUUGAGGCCAAGGGUUUUACUCAAAAGGAGGGGGUAGAUUACAAUGAAAUCUUCUCACUUGUGGCUAAGUACACCUCAAUCAGAAUUCUAUUAGCCUUAACUGCUCAUUUCAACUGGGAGUUAGAUCAACUUGAUGUAAAAAGGCAUUUCUUAAUGGUGAUCUUGAUGAAACCUUAUACAUGAACCAACCUUUAGGAUAUGAAUUAAAGUCAAAAGUUGAUAAGGUUUGCUUGCUGAAAAAGUCACUUUAUGGGCUCAAACAAGCCCCCAGGCAAUGGUACAUCAAAUUUAAUUCUUAUGUGCAUACCUUGAGUUUUGUUAAAAGCAAUUACGAUUCUUGUUUUUUUUCUAUAAAGGUUCUGGUGGACAUGGAUCCAUUUACCUGUUAUUAUAUGUUGAUGACAUGUUGCUUGCCUGUAACGAUAGAUCUGAAAUUGAUUUCAUUAAGUUAAAGUUGAAAUCUGAAUUUGAAAUGAAAGAUCUAGGUCAAGUAAGAAGGAUUCUUGGAAUGGAAAUAGAAAGAGAUAGGAAUAAUUGCAUGUUAAUGUUGAAACAAGACUCUUAUGUGAAGAAAAUACUUGAAAAGUUUUCCAUGCUUGAGUGUAAACAUGUGUCUUUGCCCAUUGCAAAUCAUUUUAAAUUGUCUAGUGAAAACUCACCUAAGACUGAUGAGGAAUUCUUAAGAAUGGAAAAGAUAUCUUAUGCUAAUGUUGUAGGAUCUAUAAUGUACCUUAUGGUGUGUACAAGACCUGACUUAGCUCAUGGCAUUAGUACUUUAAGUAGGUUUAUGUCCAACCCUGGUGAAACACAUUAGUUAGCCAUGAAAUGGAUGUUAAGGUACUUAAAAGGUACUUCAGGCUUAGGUCUGAUGUUUAAAAGAAGUAAUGAAAGGGUAAACUUAAAAGGUUAUAUUGACUCUGAUUUUGCUGGUGAUUUAGACAAAAGAAGGUCUACAUCUUCAUAUUUUUUCACUUUGUGUGAUGGCUACAUUAGUUGGAAGUUUCAAUUGCAAAAAUUAAUUGCAUUCUCAUCUACUAAAGCUGAAUACAUUGUUGCAUGUGAUGCUGUAAAAGAAAGUGUCUGGCUUAGAGGUUUAUUAAAUGAAAUAGGAUUUGAGAAUAAUUUUGUUAGGAUUUACACUGAUAACCAAAGUGCCAUACAUUUGAGUAAAAAUCCUGUCUAUCAUGACAGAACAAAACAUAGAGAUAUAAAGUUUCACUUUGUGAGAAAUAAAGCAGAAAAAUGUAUGAUUAAUCUGGUGAAAAUUCCUACAGAAUUUAAUCCUGCAGACUUAGGAACUAAGGUAUUACCUUUAAAUAAAUUUUUAAACUGCUUGAAGAUUCUAAACAUUACUUAAGGAAGUAAUAAUUAGAACUUCAAGUGAUUUGUGUUCAAGAGAUUUGAACUAAUAUUUUUUCUUUUUCUGCAGGUAAUUAGAGUAAAUGAUCCAAGAUGUGAUAUAGAGUUCUAGAUCCACUAGUAAAGAUCAAGAAAUAGUUCGGCAAGGUGGAAAUUGUUUUUAUUUUGUGGGCUGCCUCACUAUUUCGUUCUGGCCCAAAUGGUUUAAGCAGGCUUUGGGUCCAUUAUAUUCCGGGUUCUAAAAGCGUGUUUGUGUUAAAGAAUCGUGAAUGCCUCUUUAAGGAAGGAGAUCAGUCGUCCACGUGGCUGUAUCUUGGCCCUUGGUUUGUGAUGUUUGGCUGUUCAGAUACUUAACUUGGUUUUGGCCCUCAUUCUGGUUAACGAGACUCUGUGUGCCCUUUCGCCUACUUUCUCCUUUUCUCUCUGAGUGAAAGAUUAGGGUUUUUCGAUUUUUCUGUAAAUCCAAAAUAUUCUUGGUGUUCUUCUCAAUCUAAUUUUUUAGUGAUGUAGUAUGAUUGUUAUUGUACAGUCUAUUAGUGACUAAGAGGUAUUUUGUUUGUUCUAUGUAAAGAGGCGAAAGAAUAGUACAUUUGCACUAUUCUUGAUUGAUACUUAGUGGAUCUUGAGCUAUAUCACCUUUUGGUGAUGCUCAACGGGUGAUUAGGUCGAAAGCUAAACAUCCGGGCUCUUUUAGGCGAAACAUA
This 2371-nucleotide long non-coding RNA is filed under the name Olea europaea subsp. europaea. The record is from RNAcentral. Lineage: Eukaryota; Viridiplantae; Streptophyta; Magnoliopsida; Lamiales; Oleaceae.